CACGGAGAGUGAAUGCUAGCAGCGCCAGACCCGCUCAGGUCGGGUUUCUCCGGGAUCGCACUACGUCUGCGGGCUGAUUUGUCUGCCCGAGGUAUUGUUCUGUAUCGCUGCAUCGGAGCCAUAAGAGAGCGGGCCAUGAGGACUUUUCCCAAAAACAGAAGCUGCGAAGUUUACAGCGUCUCUGGUUUAGGAGCCUGCGCCCCCGCCGGUGCACCUGCACAGGAGGACUUUGUGACGAAACCCACCCAGACGUCAAGUUCAUCUAGCAGCGAGUCUGAUAUCAAGAGCCCGGUGGGCAAGAGAGCGGAUUGCGGGGCAUGGAGUAAGUGGGCGCUGAGAGCCUCCCCCUUCCUCCCUCUCUCGGCUGCCAUUGCACUGACUCUCCAUUUCCUUGCAUCCUCUCCAUCGCUCUCAGUGUUUUACCUUGGAGGAAGCAUCGAGUUCUCCAACCUCAGCUUCUCUCCAGACCUGGCAGACCCGUCGUCUACACAGUUCCGCCUCCAGUCUCAGGCGCUAAGCCAUUACUUCUCAGAGUUGUAUGAUUCUUCACCAUGGAGCUCGUAUUACCAGCACUCAGGAAUUAUUGCAUUUAGUGAAGGAGUGGAAGGACUUUGUGUGUACUACUGGAGUAAAUUCUCUGCUCCUCCCGCUAUUGCUGAGGAACUCCGGAGAGUGAACCCAUCCCGGUUGCAACGGCGUCUACCUGGAACCAACAAGGUCCUUUUUAGCAGAAACGAGGAACGCUACUACAUGGAGAGGGACGAGGACACACUGCGUCUGCU
Molecule: long non-coding RNA, 782 nt
Filed under: Sinocyclocheilus anshuiensis
Lineage: Eukaryota; Metazoa; Chordata; Actinopteri; Cypriniformes; Cyprinidae
Description: lncRNA (ENSSANG00000043209.1)
Source: RNAcentral